Pelobates cultripes (western spadefoot toad) is the source of this 678-nucleotide non-coding RNA. Lineage: Eukaryota; Metazoa; Chordata; Amphibia; Anura; Pelobatidae. The record is from the annotation of a GenBank genome assembly.
GGUGAGGGUUAUCCUGGUCCGCUCCUGGGAGGCUACCCUGCAGUGGCGUUGGUAAACAUUCCGGCGGCAGGUGCAGUUGCCGAGCCAAUAUGGCAGAUACCACAUGCUCCGUCUAUCACAGCAGCAGGAAAACGGACAUCAUAUCUAGGCUAGAUAGACUUUUCAACGACUUCUGGUGGAAACUGACACACCAUAGGAGACAGUCUGCUCCGCGGGAACACAGCGACCAUUCACCCUCUGCUCUCACAUCCCCGUCGUAGCCCUUUUGGGGGGUCAGAACAUGGAGGUGGAGAGAGCGACUUCCCCCGCCUAAGUGCAGGCUGAAGCAAAGACGAGGCACACUAUGACUCAAUACUGAGACUCUCCUGGAAUUUAGGAUGUCAAAGAGAAUCGGUAGAGCACCGCGGAUCCUAUUUCGCCUGCCUUUGGUUUAGAGAGGAAGCCUCAGGAGAGGAAGCCUUCGGUUUUUAGAGAGGAAGCCUCAGGAGUCUCUCUGUGCUGUAGGACCAAGCUCUGCCUCUUAAUGGCAUAGGCUGAGAUGGGCAGUGUGGCGGGACUCCUAAGGGCUCAUUGUCACUCACCUUACUCUGUGGCAUAGCUUACGCAGUGAUUCUUCUCACAUUGCUUUUGUUGCUGUGUCCCCUGCUGGAAUUUUUCUAUUAUAUCGUUAUAGCUUUU